This 2709-nucleotide long non-coding RNA is filed under the name Pogona vitticeps (central bearded dragon). RNAcentral describes it as "lncRNA (ENSPVIG00000018476.1)". The record is from RNAcentral. Lineage: Eukaryota; Metazoa; Chordata; Lepidosauria; Squamata; Agamidae.
AUUAUCUUUUACCUGGCAGGCAGGUCUUUGUAUUCUAAAGAACUUACAGCUGAAUGGACAUGCAUAUAAAAGCACUGUAGGAGUCAGAGGCAUAUGACACAGAGCACGGCUGGGCACAGGGUAGUUCCUGGACCACAUGCAGACUCAAGGAGCCCAAAAGCAUCCCCUGCAGUCCUGGGGGAGGGGCAGCUCCCCACAGCCCAAAAAUAAACUUGUUUUUUUUUUAAUGCUCUUUAAUUAUAAGGGGAAAAAGAGACCUUGCACCCUCUCUUGAGAGUGGGAGAUAUUUUUGCCAUGUUCUUCUCUCCUUCCAGCACCCCCGGGGAGUCCCAUCACCUGUAGAUGUUUGUUUUGUUUUUGCUGGUCAAUUAAAAAUUACUACUAGAAGAGGACUUUUUCCAGAUAAAGAGCAUUUUAAAAACAAAAAUACUUGGGGGGGGUUGAAUGGGGAGUAGGGAUAGUUCCCCAAGGUUCAAUGUGGGACUGUGUUGUCCUCAGAUUUAAUUCUGGAGGUUGCCAUCCUUGGCAAAGAGGGUACUCUUGCUUUGGAGGAGAGUGCAUUGCAGACAUAGAAGACACUCCCCAUCCUGCCUCAUUCCUCCCAUUACAAAUGCAGCACAAAAAAAUGAACACUCCAGGCUACUAUAUUUAUAACAAAAGAGUUACAUUAACCAUUUAACUGAAAUCACUUUUUGAUAAACUCUUGGAAAUUCUAAUAGUCUGGCCAGGGGAAAGGAACAUAACAAUGACCCAAUGUUAUCUCUGCAUCCCUGCUAGCUGCAGCCUUACCAGUGACUCAUCAAACUCCAUCUCAAGACUGAAAUUAACUGUAAACCUCAUGGCUAAAACAUUCAGCCCAAUUUUUCCAUUUUUCUCCCCAGCUUCAUUCUGGUUUUAACACUGAGCUUAAUUAAAAGUUCUCGAGAACUCAAAAAAUUUGUAUAUUACUGCAGAAUUACAUACUGACCUGCCUAUCUACUGCAGACAUCUAUAACGUUCAAGUAUUAAAUUUUUCUGCGCAUGAAAACGUAACUCAGGAUGCUAGAAUCAGAUAUGUUAGUAGAAUUUUUGUUCAAGGUGAAGCAGAAUAGCAUAUAUCGCUCUUUCAACUGAUGAGCAUAAUUUUUAAUGAUCCCUUCCUCCAUACCUAAAUUACUGAUAUAUCUGGAAUACUCAAGGGGUUUUGACAUUCAGAACAGCAGUUUCAGUAAAGAACUGGCAUUUAGGUAACAUAUUCAUGCAAGAAGCAUGAUUCUUUCAGGGCAAGUUCCAAGAUAGAAGAAGUGUGUAACAGAGUGCUAUUCUUUAAUGCUCCCCUUUCCUUGAUGCUGUGGUCUUCUGCCGUCACGUUGCUUCCAGCUUAUGAUGACCCCAUGAAUGAGUUACCUCCAAAAGGUCCUAUUACGCCCAGCCCUGCUUAAUUCUUAAAGCGGUGGCUUCAUUUAAGCCACAUCAUUAAUUCAAUCCACCUCAUAUUCAGUCUUCCGCUUUUCCUACUGUCUUCCAGAAGCCUUGUGGUACAGUGGUUAAAUUGCUGUACUGCAGACAAAUCUGUGCUCACAACCUGGGGUUCAAUCCCAGGUAGCCGGCUCAAGGUUGACUCAGUCUUCCAUCCUUCUGAGGUUGGUAAAACGAGUACCCAGCUUGCGGGGGGGGGCGUGGCAAUGUGUACUCUGCAUAAUUAACUCAUAAACCACCCAGAGAGUGCUUGAAGCACUAUGGGACGGUAACAUAAGCGUGAGCACGCUUUGCCUUUUCCAGUUUUCCUAGCAUUAUUGUCUAUUCCAUCUUGUCAUGGGGUACUAUAGCCCCAGUUUAGUCAUGUUUGUUUCUAGGCAGAGUCCAGGCUUCAUUUGAUCUGGCACCUUUUUGUUUGUCUUUCAGUACUCCACGCUGUCUGCAAAGCUCCUUUCUAAUAUCACAAUUUGAAUGAAUGAUUUUUCUUUUUUCCUGUCAGUUUUCCUCACUGUCCCAGUGGUUAUUCCUUCAUUACUCAGUUCUCCUAAACUCAAUGCCUGUUUACUUUACAUACAGCCAAGGCCAGUAGUCAUUAGGUCUAAUGGCUCCUACAAUGAAAUAUUAUGAGGCAGCCAUUCAUCACUUCAAAGGUGCUUUUAAAAACAUCUUCAUUCUGACUGAUUCUUAUUAGCCUCUUAUUCUUCCAGCUCAUUUUCCUGGUUUUGUACAUUAGUUAAUGGGCCAGAGUGAUGACUGAGAUGAUCAAAGUCAUGGGACUCAGAUGAUAACUAGGUGCUAGAAAGAGAAGAAGGUGGCCUAAGGGGGGCUUACCAUAUUCGUAUGUCUGAUGGGUUCCCUUUCUGGCCAGCAUAUUCUACCACUAAGAAUUCAGCAUUUACAGCACCAACAGCAAUAACAAAUGCUCAAAUGCUUUAAACAGUUUAACACACCUUUGUCAGAAUAACGUUGGGAUCACUUGGUUUAUUAUUUCCAGUGUGCAUUACAGGAUUGAUAGCAAACUACAGUGGUGCCUUGCUUAACGCGCGCUUCGUUUAACAACGAAUUCGCUUAGCGAUGGCUUUUUCGGAUAGCGAUGACAGUUUGGGUCCCCCUGUUUCGCUUAACGAUGGUUUUGACAGCCUCCUGUUGGCUGUUUUUUAUACGUUUAAAAAUAUUUUAAAAAUGUUUAGAAUGCUUGAAAUCAUAAGUGCACUUAAUAAACCCUGUGUUAAACUAAUUUGACUUUGUUCC